RNAcentral lists this ribosomal RNA (497 nucleotides) under uncultured bacterium. RNAcentral's name for it is "partial 16S ribosomal RNA". It matches the Rfam family "Bacterial small subunit ribosomal RNA", at positions 28 to 507 of the family's 1533-position model. The record is from RNAcentral.
GAUGUACGCUGGCGGCGUGCCUAAUACAUGCAAGUCGAGCGAACGGACGAGAAGCUUGCUUUUCUGAUGUUAGCGGCGGACGGGUGAGUAACACGUGGAUAACCUACCUAUAAGACUGGGAUAACUUCGGGAAACCGGAGCUAAUACCGGAUAAUAUUUUGAACCGCAUGGUUCAAAAGUGAAAGACGGUCUUGCUGUCACUUAUAGAUGGAUCCGCGCUGCAUUAGCUAGUUGGUAAGGUAACGGCUUACCAAGGCAACGAUGCAUAGCCGACCUGAGAGGGUGAUCGGCCACACUGGAACUGAGACACGGUCCAGACUCCUACGGGAGGCAGCAGUAGGGAAUCUUCCGCAAUGGGCGAAAGCCUGACGGAGCAACGCCGCGUGAGUGAUGAAGGUCUUCGGAUCGUAAAACUCUGUUAUUAGGGAAGAACAUAUGUGUAAGUAACUGUGCACAUCUAGACGGUACCUAAUCAGAAAGCCACGGCUAACUACGUG